GUCGGUCCACUGCGUCCCUUUGGCCCCUCAGGACCAUCCUCUCCCCUGGAACCAGGGACUCCAACCUCGCCCUGUGUGAGAGGGAAGGACAGGGGUCAGGCUCCCAAGAGAACACAGCACUGGAACUGCAGAGUCUGGAGACUCAGGAGAAUAAACUGUUGCUUGGGGUCUCCAGAGUGGAAGCUCAGUAGGACACGGAAUUGGGGCCAGUGUGGAAUCUCUACUCACCCUGUCACCUUUCACGCCUAUGUCACCUUUGAACCCUGGAAAGCCAUCCUCGCCCUAAGAAAGAUAGAGGUUCCAAAACCCAAGAGACAACUCACUGGGAGCAUGAGAGAUGUGCCAGGAGGACCAGGAGCCCCAUCUGAUCCAGGGAGCCCUGC
Molecule: long non-coding RNA, 383 nt
Filed under: Macaca fascicularis (crab-eating macaque)
Lineage: Eukaryota; Metazoa; Chordata; Mammalia; Primates; Cercopithecidae
Description: retinoid X receptor beta
Source: RNAcentral